UUCCUCACAUUUUUGAAGCUUUUCCGGACAUUUUUGUGACUUUUCAAUGUUCUUUUAUUUAAAAAAAAAAAAUUUCAAAUGCUAGGAAAUUGAAUACAACUUGUGAGGAGCGUUGUAGGGAACCAUCCACAUUAUUUCUUUUGAAAAUGUGGUUGAAAGAACCCCAAAUUUCUGAUAAAGAAACUUUUUGAAAAUGGGUCAAAUUUGACCUGAGAACAACAUGAGGGUUAAGUGUUUGUUGUUUAUCUCUGUUCCAUAAAGUCACCAUGUAAGUAACUUCUUAUAUUCCAGAUGAUUCACAGUUCUGAUGUCUGAAUGAGUUAAAUUUCAAGAGAGUAAUGUGUAGUAUUUCUUGAAUGACAGGAUUUUCUUCCACUAAAUAAAACAAAAUCGGAUUUUAAAUGCUAAACAUUGUGUGAAAUUCCUCCCUAACUGACCUGCAUCGUUAGUUCAGAGUACGACCAAUUUUCAGCAGUUUGUAAAGCAGGAAGUUUUAUUUUGAAAGGUAACGUCACCAGCAGCAAGUUGAGAUUGAGUCGAUCGAACUUGCCGAUGUCUCGUAAUAUCACACGUGCAGUUUUAUGCAUAUACACACACAUGCAAUGUCAUAUAAUGAGACCGACUGAGCAUGUCAGGUCGGCCAAAAUGAACGCCGACGGCUCCUCCAACGGACGACGGCACGGAACACACCGAACAGACUCGAGUCACUGACUUCGCCAGACUGUCCAACGGCCGAUAAUCGGGUUGGUGUGUCAGCACCUUGAACACCUGUGUGGGGGUCCAGGGCCUUUAAAAACAAUUUCAUUCUUUUAGCAAAUGCUAUAAAAUUGAAUAAAACCCCCCAAAUUCAAUUAAAGUAGUGAUCUGAUUUUUGAUUUUACCUACAAAGAGCAUUGUAUGGAACAAUCUGUUAUUUUUGGGCAGUUUGCUUGAAAGAAACUCAAAUGUUGUGAUGUAGAAACUUUGAAAAAGAAAUUGGCCAAAUUAUAUAAAAAAGUGCCAUGAAAACCUAACAGCCAAUGAAAACCUGUAAGCGAGAGAUGUGAUCGAAUGAAACGGCAGCAGCGUUUCUCUUCAACUCCUCCGCGUGAUCCUCCUCCUCGAGCGCCGUCCACGUUUUUAUUUUAUUCUAUUUUCAUCGUUCAAACUCUGAACUUCAGCAGCGUUUAUUCUCCUCUACUGGAUCUGUUCCUCUGUGUUCAUUCUUAAAAAAAACACAUGAAAGUAGUUUGAAGACCAUCAUAUCAUAAAAUUAAAGUUAUUCUUCCCCCGCCCUCCCUCUCGCUCUCCCCCCCCCACACACACAUAAAAACUGCACAGAUCAACAUUUCAGACGACACAGAAGCACUGCACUUUCAUUGGCCGAAACAAUCCCAGAGAACUGCAGACGUUAUUGUUUGUUUUUAUUUUCAGGAGGCAAAGAACAACAAUGUUCUUUUUCGCUUGGCCAUUUUUUGUUUGUUUUCAAGGCUUCACACAAACCAAUACGUUCUUAAUUGGUUACACUUUACUUGAAGGUAUCUACAUAAGAGUGACAUGACACUGUCAUUAACGUGUCAUAAACGUGUAUGACAACGCUUCUUUUAGGAUGUGCCAUUCGGUUAGGGUUAGGUUAGUUCAAAUUGGCGAGCCAGCCAGAAGGGUUGGGUUAGAGUUAAACUUCGAAUUGGCGAGCCAGCCAGGAGGGUUGGGUUAGGGUUCAUGUGUUCAUGACGGUGUCAUGUCACUCUUAUGUAGAUACCUCCAAUAAAGUGUUACCGUUUGUUUUUAUUUUCAGGAGACAAAGAAGAACAAUGUUUGUUUUUUUUACACUAGGCCACACACAUUUUUUAUUUUAUUUUUUUAUUUCAAAAUGGCCAAUAUUUCCCUCCCUUCCUCCGUCAUUUGAAGCUGCGACCCAGAAGGGAAGAAGAAACCAACACAGCAUGUUUUUAAUUAUUUUUUAAUUUUUUUUUUUUUUUGUUCCAAGCAGUGCUGUGAAUCGUACGAGCUGUGAUUGUGUCCUUAUUUUGUCGUGCAUAUGUGGGGUAACUUUGCUAAGUGUGAAAAUAUUUUGACAAGUGCCACACCCCGGCCUGUGCGAUGCUUACCAUAAUGUCUAUAAAACAGGAAGUGAUUUCUUCUGGUGGGACGAACACCAGAAAAGAGAGAAUUAUGAUUAUUAUGCUUCUGAUUAUUAUUAUUAUUAUUAUUAUGGUGACUAUUAUUAUUAUUAUUCCUUCUACUGUAUCAUCAUUGCGACCAUGAUUAUCCUCAAUCAUUUAAGAGUCUAUUGUUUUGCCAUGUAUUUUUUAUUUUGAGAUUUUUAUUUUAGUUUUCUUUUUAUUAUUAAAGGUAAAAUGAACUAACAAAUCCUGAUGUCGUGUGCUGCUUCUGAAUGUUUCCCUUCAUCUCAAAUGUUUGACUGAAUUUGGUGUUUUGGGGGUAAAAAGACAUCCGAGAUUAAACCGGAUUAAACUGGAUUAAAGGUUGUGUUUUUGG
Sander lucioperca (pikeperch) is the source of this 2481-nucleotide long non-coding RNA. RefSeq lists it as uncharacterized. The transcript has 2 exons. The record is from RefSeq and is a predicted model, not a curated record. Lineage: Eukaryota; Metazoa; Chordata; Actinopteri; Perciformes; Percidae.